UUGUAGCUGAAAAAAAUCCAGUGAAAACUGCCGGCAUUUAUUGUGUUCCUUGGUAGCCUUGACAAGGAAAAUUACCCCUGCAACUCCUAAGGCACCAGAUCGGAAGUUUGGAACUAUUGGGAUUGGAAAGAGUGAACCACAGAUGUGUUUACCUGUUGCCUGUAACUAUAAUUGAUACAUGGUUUUCAGCAUCCAUUCUUUCAGCUACUGGGACAAAAUCAGAAGGUAUGGCAUUUUAAAUUAGUAUAUUAUAUAUAGAUUAUUAAUAAGUCCUUAGGAGAAUAAUAAU
This 289-nucleotide long non-coding RNA is filed under the name Phascolarctos cinereus (koala). RNAcentral describes it as "lncRNA (ENSPCIG00000033958.1)". The record is from RNAcentral. Lineage: Eukaryota; Metazoa; Chordata; Mammalia; Diprotodontia; Phascolarctidae.